This 515-nucleotide ribosomal RNA is filed under the name uncultured bacterium. Its description in RNAcentral is "partial 16S ribosomal RNA". It matches the Rfam family "Bacterial small subunit ribosomal RNA", at positions 28 to 523 of the family's 1533-position model. The record is from RNAcentral.
GAUGAACGCUGGCGGCGUGCCUAAUACAUGCAAGUCGAGCGAAUGGAUUAAGAGCUUGCUCUUAUGAAGUUAGUGGCGGACGGGUGGGUAACACGUGGGUAACCUGCCCAAAAGACUGGGAUAACUCCGGGAAACCGGGGCUAAUACCGGAUAACAUUUUGAACCGCAUGGUUCGAAAUUGAAAGGCUGCUUCGGCUGUCACUUAUGGAUGGACCCGCGUCGCAUUAGCUAGUUGGUGAGGUAACGGCUCACCAAGGCAACGAUGCGUAGCCGACCUGAGAGGGUGAUCGGCCACACUGGGACUGAGACACGGCCCAGACUCCUACGGGAGGCAGCAGUAGGGAAUCUUCCGCAAUGGACGAAAGUCUGACGGAGCAACGCCGCGUGAGUGAUGAAGGCUUUCGGGUCGUAAAACUCUGUUGUUAGGGAAGAACAAGUGCUAGUUGAAUAAGCUGGCACCUUGACGGUACCUAACCAGAAAGCCACGGCUAACUACGUGCCAGCCGCCGCUGUAA